CUCUUNNUUCNGCGGCGGANGGGUGAGUAAUGCCUAGGAAUCUGCCUGGUAGUGGGGGACAACGUUUCGAAAGGAACGCUAAUACCGCAUACGUCCUACGGGAGAAAGCAGGGGACCUUCGGGCCUUGCGCUAUCAGAUGAGCCUAGGUCGGAUUAGCUAGUUGGUGAGGUAAUGGCUCACCAAGGCGACGAUCCGUAACUGGUCUGAGAGGAUGAUCAGUCACACUGGAACUGAGACACGGUCCAGACUCCUACGGGAGGCAGCAGUGGGGAAUAUUGGACAAUGGGCGAAAGCCUGAUCCAGCCAUGCCGCGUGUGUGAAGAAGGUCUUCGGAUUGUAAAGCACUUUAAGUUGGGAGGAAGGGCAUUAACCUAAUACGUUAGUGUUUUGACGUUACCGACAGAAUAAGCACCGGCUAACUCUGUGCCAGCAGCCGCGGUAAUACAGAGGGUGCAAGCGUUAAUCGGAAUUACUGGGCGUAAAGCGCGCGUAGGUGGUUUGUUAAGUUGGAUGUGAAAGCCCCGGGCUCAACCUGGGAACUGCAUUCAAAACUGACAAGCUAGAGUAUGGUAGAGGGUGGUGGAAUUUCCUGUGUAGCGGUGAAAUGCGUAGAUAUAGGAAGGAACACCAGUGGCGAAGGCGACCACCUGGACUGAUACUGACACUGNNUGCGAAAGCGUGGGGAGCAAACAGGAUUAGAUACCCUGGUAGUCCACGCCGUAAACGAUGUCAACUAGCCGUNNGGAGCC
Molecule: ribosomal RNA, 750 nt
Filed under: Pseudomonas sp.
Lineage: Bacteria; Pseudomonadati; Pseudomonadota; Gammaproteobacteria; Pseudomonadales; Pseudomonadaceae
Description: bacterial SSU rRNA
Rfam family: Bacterial small subunit ribosomal RNA
Source: RNAcentral